This 459-nucleotide ribosomal RNA is filed under the name uncultured bacterium. Its description in RNAcentral is "partial 16S ribosomal RNA". It matches the Rfam family "Bacterial small subunit ribosomal RNA", at positions 338 to 795 of the family's 1533-position model. The record is from RNAcentral.
CCUACGGGGGACAGCAGUGAGGAAUAUUGGUCAAUGGCCGAGAGGCUGAACCAGCCAAGUCGCGUGAGGGAAGACGGCCCUACGGGUUGUAAACCUCUUUUGUCGGGGAGCAAAGCGCGUCACGUGUGACUCCCCGAGAGGACCCGAAGAAAAAGCAUCGGCUAACCCCGUGCCAGCAGCCGCGGUAAGACGGAGGGUGCGAGCGUUAUCCGGAUUUAUUGGGUUUAAAGGGGGCGCAGGCGGAGGGGCAAGUCAGCGGUCAAAUUGCGGGGCUCAACCCCGUACUGCCGUUGAAACUGUAUCCCUUGAGUGCGCGAGAAGUAUGCGGAAUGCGUGGUGUAGCGGUGAAAUGCAUAGAUAUCACGCAGAACUCCGAUUGCGAAGGCAGCAUACCGGCGCGCAACUGACGCUCAUGCACGAAAGCGUGGGUAUCGAACAGGAUUAGAUACCCUGGUAGUC